UGCAGUCGAGGGGCAGCAUCAUCAAAGCUUGCUUUGAUGGAUGGCGACCGGCGCACGGGUGAGUAACACGUAUCCAACCUGCCGACAACACUGGGAUAGCCUUUCGAAAGAAAGAUUAAUACCGGAUGGUAUAGUUUUCCCGCAUGGGAUGAUUAUUAAAGAAUUUCGGUUGUCGAUGGGGAUGCGUUCCAUUAGGCAGUUGGCGGGGUAACGGCCCACCAAACCUACGAUGGAUAGGGGUUCUGAGAGGAAGGUCCCCCACAUUGGAACUGAGACACGGUCCAAACUCCUACGGGAGGCAGCAGUGAGGAAUAUUGGUCAAUGGACGAGAGUCUGAACCAGCCAAGUAGCGUGAAGGAUGACUGCCCUAUGGGUUGUAAACUUCUUUUAUACGGGAAUAAAGUGAGCCACGUGUGGCUUUUUGUAUGUACCGUAUGAAUAAGGAUCGGCUAACUCCGUGCCAGCAGCCGCGGUAAUACGGAGGAUCCGAGCGUUAUCCGGAUUUAUUGGGUUUAAAGGGAGCGUAGGCGGGUUGUUAAGUCAGUUGUGAAAGUUUGCGGCUCAACCGUAAAAUUGCAGUUGAUACUGGCGACCUUGAGUGCAACAGAGGUAGGCGGAAUUCGUGGUGUAGCGGUGAAAUGCUUAGAUAUCACGAAGAACUCCGAUUGCGAAGGCAGCUUACUGGAUUGUAACUGACGUUGAUGCUCG
Molecule: ribosomal RNA, 708 nt
Filed under: uncultured bacterium
Lineage: Bacteria
Description: bacterial SSU rRNA
Rfam family: Bacterial small subunit ribosomal RNA
Source: RNAcentral